This is a long non-coding RNA of Xenia sp. Carnegie-2017, 342 nucleotides long. RefSeq lists it as uncharacterized. The transcript has 2 exons. Lineage: Eukaryota; Metazoa; Cnidaria; Anthozoa; Malacalcyonacea; Xeniidae. The record is from RefSeq and is a predicted model, not a curated record.
AAUAUGCAUUGAUUAAUAUGCAUUGAUCAUAUAUAACUUGAUUACAAAUAUAUAUAAUGAUUAUUUUUUUAAUAUAGGUAAUAAUAUAAACUUUAGUGGAAUUUGUAGUUAUACUUUUGUGUAAUUUUUAGUGUAAUGUUUGGAUUUGUAGCCAAUUUUGGCUUCAACAAACUAUUUUGAUAGCCACAUCAAAACAUAGUACAAUAUCGUAUCUAAUAAUACGUUGUCCUCCUUGCUGCUUAUUUACAUCUUUACGAAGAAAUUCUCUACAUUGAAUUUAGCGUGAGCAGAAGCUUUGUGUAACAGUUCAAUUGGAUUCUCCAAAGAUUCGCCAUUCAACCA